GCAUAUCAAUAAGCGGAGGAAAAGAAACCAACAGGGAUUGCCUUAGUAACUGCGAGUGAAGCGGCAAGAGCUCAAAUUUGAAAUCUGGCACCUUCGGUGUCCGAGUUGUAAUUUGUAGAAGCAUCUUUUGAAUUGGUCCUUGCAUAUGUUCCUUGGAACAGGACAUCAUAGAGGGUGAGAAUCCCGUUCAUGGUGGGGAAACCAAUUCUUUGUAAAGUGCUUUCGAAGAGUCGAGUUGUUUGGGAAUGCAGCUCUAAGUGGGUGGUAAAUUCCAUCUAAAGCUAAAUAUUGGCGAGAGACCGAUAGCGAACAAGUACAGUGAUGGAAAGAUGAAAAGUACUCCGAAAGGAGAGUGAAAAAGGACGUGAAAUUGUUGAAAGGGAAGUGCUUGAGAUCAGUCUUAGGUUUUAGUGAUCAAUCUUCCUUUUGGUUGGUGCACUCACUAUUGCUUAGGCCAGCAUCAGUUUUAGUGACAGGAUAAUGACCUUGGAAUGUGGCUCUUUCGGGAGUGUUAUAGACUUGGUUGAUACUGUCUACUGAGACUGAGGACCGCGCUUUUAGCUCGGAUGCUGGCAUAUGCU
This 581-nucleotide ribosomal RNA is filed under the name Lipomyces japonicus. Its description in RNAcentral is "eukaryotic LSU rRNA". It matches the Rfam family "Eukaryotic large subunit ribosomal RNA", at positions 38 to 638 of the family's 3401-position model. The record is from RNAcentral. Lineage: Eukaryota; Fungi; Ascomycota; Lipomycetes; Lipomycetales; Lipomycetaceae.